Long non-coding RNA from Perca flavescens (yellow perch), 2566 nucleotides. RefSeq lists it as uncharacterized. The record is from RefSeq and is a predicted model, not a curated record. The transcript is spliced from 4 exons. NCBI's taxonomy places the organism in Eukaryota, Metazoa, Chordata, Actinopteri, Perciformes, Percidae.
UCUCUCAUCAGCCUCUCAGUUCAUACCGGCCCAGUUCCAUUUAUUCCCUGCCAGCCUAUCUACACUCUCCCUUAUCCUUGUGACAAUUCCCGUAUAGAUUUAUAUUAAAAAAUAUAAAAAAAGAUCAAAUAGUGACAUCAAAGAGAUGGCUUUUGAGUGUGUCACAGCUUAUAAAGGGAUUUCCUUGCAUCUCUCCCCUCCUCGGUGGGAUGGACCAAGAUGCGAGGAAGGGCAGCAAGUGAAGGAAACGUGGAUACAAUUUGACAACCUGGGACGUACGCCAGAUUGGGAUUUUGGCGCUGAACAUCCUUGAGAGUGAUUUGACUUUGGCUUUGAGAACUGAAUGCCUACUAUCCCCAGCUAUAUAUAUCUUUUUGGACAAACCAACAACAAAACUUGAACAGAUCCAUCAACAGACGCUCUCUGGACCAGCCGCUUGUAAGGACCUCUUGGUUGGAGCUAGCCGUGGGUGCUGACUGGAGUCUCACCUUUGGGCUUACUGGCCCUCUUCCUGCAGAAAAUCAGCAAAGCUCCUGAUAACAUGAUGAAGAAGAGGACCAGAGUCAGACCCAGAUACAGCAGAGCACUUGGGGCUGUUUGAGCAGAAGAACACGUUGGUUUUACACUUCCUGGUUCAUUAUUAAAUAUAUCUGGCAGCAUAAACUGGACUCCAAGGUACAUGAGGGACCUGAGAGAUCAUUCAUGCUGUGUUGUCCAACUAAUGGUGUAGCUGGUGCUGUGUGUUGCUGUCGAGGCUGCUCGCUGGCUUCAGGGGAGGCUGAUGAAGGUGUGGAGCUUAAACUCUGUGAUGUCAUCAGUGUGGAGGCUGAUGAAGGUGUGGAGCUUAAACUCUGUGAUGUCAUCAGUGUGGAGGCUGAUGGGACUGAUGGUGAAGAAGGUCUGAGAGGAGAGGUUGGAGCUGUGAAACAUUAAAAACACAAUCAAACAGUCAGAUAGUGAUUGUAGAGAUCCAAAGAAGUGGUGAUGAUCAGAUGCUCCCUGCAGAGAACUCUGUGCUAACAUCCAUGUGUUUUAAUCCCACAGCUAAAUGCAGAAGGUCAUCAAUGGGUUUGGUGUAACAAGAUUCCAAUCAGCUGCAGUGUGGGACCGUCUGAGUUUAUCACAUAUUUUACACAUCAACUGUUAAAGGAGCAUUUAUCAGAGUUCACAAUGAUGAAAAUAUGCAGCUCUAAAUACAACUGUUAGACUAAACAUGUUAAGUUAUUUGAAACAUCAGCAGCUGUCAGUGAACAGUUAAUAACAUGACUCUCAGUAGAAACUCACCAUCUGUAACUCGGAUCUCAAUCUCCUGGUAUGAUGGUGAGAAUGGGAAAGAUCUGACCAAACAACAUCUGUACCAUCCUGAUUCAGACUGAGUCAGGUUUCUGAUGCUCACAUACAGUAUUGUUUUAAAUACUGGAAAACCUCCUUCUAUAUAUCUGAUGCUGUAUCUGCCUCUCUGAGCUGUGUCCUCUUCUGUGUUAAUGAGAAUGUCUCCUUCUUUACAUUUGUCCUUACAGAAGAUCCUCCUCUUUCCAGAGAAAUAGAAGGAGCAUUUAACUGUGAUGUCUCCUCCUUCAGUUCCUGUACUCUUGAUGAUUUCUGCAUUGAUGAGACCAAUGUUUCCAUCCUGCAGUGCUGUUGAAAAGAUGAACAAUCAAUAGUUACUACUUGCUAUUGAUGUUGCAGUCUAAUUUGUUUCACAUUUACAUUCAUCAUACAUAGAUCCACACAGUCAUACUGGGUGUGAUAAAAUUCCCAGCUUAUGAACUCAUGCUUUGUCAGUUAAGACAUUGGUGCACAGGUCUCAUUCAGGUCUCCAACAUCACCUCAUAACCUUUUCAGGCAGAGGAGUACUUCUACUCUGUCUCCAUAGAAACCACAGCUGUAUGCUGUGUGUGAAUUAAGUAAUUGGGUCAACAAUAAUGAAACACAUGGAAACAGUACUGUGUUCAGACAGAAUGCAAGGUAAAUUUUAGAGGCACCACGAUGGCAUUCUAAUUCAAAUUAGUUUGUGCUGAGUUCAUUGAGUCUUUGAGUCCUGGGUUAAAUAUGUCAUACAAUUUAAAACCAUAUAGUUUGAAGAAGUGCUGGAGAAAUCUAAAACCAAGUAAAUGUGAUUCUGUCAAGACAGAGAGGGUAUCUUUAAAGAUUCUUCAGGGGAAAUAAAAGAUUUAAAGAUUUAAGGGGGUUACAACUAUUAGUGUAUAUGAGUAUUGUUUCCUGCAUAAAAAUUGUAUUUUCAUCUUUUACCUGCUUCUUCGUAUGUGAAAUUACAUUUUCCCAUGCAAAAUGUAUGUUUUAUCCAAUAUUGAUAGCAGGAGGACACAUGCAGUGUCAAAAUAUAAAGAAAUAUAAAAAAAAUCAAGUCAACUAUACAAAUAAUCAUAAAAAUUAGUAGUUUACAGAAUACACAAAAAAUAUUCAUUUUUCAGCUCAAGUCAGCCAAACAAAAUGUUUUGAAAAUGAUGUUAGACAGUUUAGUUUCUCUACUCCUCUGUAAGAUAUCAUUUUUUUGGUGCUAAAAUCGUUAUGUAGUUUUCUUUCUGUUAUCAAUUUAUUUAAA